Molecule: ribosomal RNA, 424 nt
Filed under: Verrucomicrobiota bacterium
Lineage: Bacteria; Pseudomonadati; Verrucomicrobiota
Description: Verrucomicrobia bacterium partial 16S ribosomal RNA
Rfam family: Bacterial small subunit ribosomal RNA
Source: RNAcentral
UGAGGAAUAUUGGUCAAUGGGCGAGAGCCUGAACCAGCCAAGUAGCGUGCAGGAUGACGGCCCUAUGGGUUGUAAACUGCUUUUAUAUGGGAAUAAAGUGAGGGACGUGUCCCUUAUUGCAUGUAUCAUAUGAAUAAGGACCGGCUAAUUCCGUGCCAGCAGCCGCGGUAAUACGGAAGGUCCAGGCGUUAUCCGGAUUUAUUGGGUUUAAAGGGAGCGUAGGCUGUUUGUUAAGCGUGUUGUGAAAUGUAAGAGCUCAACUUUUAGAUUGCAGCGCGAACUGGCAGACUUGAGUGCGCACAACGUAGGCGGAAUUCAUGGUGUAGCGGUGAAAUGCUUAGAUAUCAUGACGAACUCCGAUUGCGAAGGCAGCUUACGGGAGCGCAACUGACGCUAAAGCUCGAAGGUGCGGGUAUCGAACAGG